This 514-nucleotide ribosomal RNA is filed under the name uncultured bacterium. Its description in RNAcentral is "bacterial SSU rRNA". It matches the Rfam family "Bacterial small subunit ribosomal RNA", at positions 32 to 523 of the family's 1533-position model. The record is from RNAcentral.
AAUCAACGCUGGCGGCGUGCCUCAGACAUGCAAGUCGAACGCGAAAGUUCCCUUCGGGGGAUGAGUAGAGUGGCGCACGGGUGAGUAACACGUAGGUAAUCUACCUUCGGAUGGGGAAUAACAACCGGAAACGGUUGCUAAUACCGCAUAAUGCAGCGGCACCUAAUGGUGACAGUUGUUAAAGCGGGGGAUCGAAAGACCUCGCGUCUGAAGAGGAGCCUGCGGCGGAUUAGCAGUUGGUAGGGUAACGGCCUACCAAGGCUACGAUCCGUAGCCGGCCUGAGAGGGCGGUCGGCCGCACUGACACUGACAUACGGGUCAGACUCCUACGGGAGGCAGCAGUCGGGAAUUUGGGCAAUGGGCGAAAGCCUGACCCAGCAACGCCGCGUGAAGGAUGAAAUCCCUCGGGAUGUAAACUUCGCAAGAACGGGAAGAAUAAGUAGGGGACAAUACCCCCUAUGAUGACGGUACCGUUUGUAAGCUCCGGCUAACUCCGUGCCAGCAGCCGCGGUAA